Long non-coding RNA from Parus major (Great Tit), 6679 nucleotides. RefSeq lists it as uncharacterized. NCBI's taxonomy places the organism in Eukaryota, Metazoa, Chordata, Aves, Passeriformes, Paridae. The transcript has 4 exons. The record is from RefSeq and is a predicted model, not a curated record.
CAAGUACAGCUUGUGUACUUGCACAGCUUCCUGUACGGCCAAUGCCUCUUUUUUCAGAUCCAAAUGCCUCAGAACGGCUGUUCUCUCCACCUCACUGCACAGAGAAAACACCCCAGAGUAUCCUGUUCAGAGCCACUUCCUUGCCCUACAUCCCAGUGGAUGCAGCUUCUGAAAGGAAGCAGAGUCGGCAAGGAUGGAGUACUUUUGGGAAUCAUUCCCAGCAUAUGGAGACUGCAUUCUGCAGCAAGCAAGGGCAGUUCCCUCAGCAAGUGGAAAAUGGGCUUCACCUCCCUGUGGUCUCCCUGUGGUUUGCUUCCCUUGCGAUAUUAUUUUUGAACAGCAGGCAGGAGCUCUGUGCUUCUUGUUCUGUUUAGUAAAUCCAAUAACCAAACCUGGCCCACUUCUGGGUGGUCCUCCCAAAAUACCCCAAAUCCACGCCAAGGCCAUGUGAUAUAAUAAUCAUAAGAAAUACAGGGAUUGCUUUGACAGAUACCUCAAAAUCAGUUUUUCAGGAAAUGGGAUGUUUCAACCAAUGUGUCGGUUCCAUAUGGAUUUUUCUCCCCCCUAUUUCUUUUACUUAUUCAGUGCCUUUGUCCUUCAUUCCAGUAAAGCCAGAAUUACCAGCCUGGAAAGUGAAGAUCACUGGUGCAUGAUGCUUGACUUGAUCUUGGGCUGGUAGACGUUAGACUGCACAAAAUGCCUCCCAGGUUAAGGAAUUCAGAUCUGGAUUGCUGGGCAGCCCGACUGCUUUCAUGACCAAGAAUAAGAAUGAGAGAUGUAAAAAGCCAGCCAUAAAAAGCCAGCCAUGAAAACCCAAACUCAUGAUGGAUCCUGCUGAGACUCGUGUUUAACAGUUCCUUCCUGGAGUGGCUCGAGAAACAACAAGAAAAAAAAUAUUGUGAAAGUCACACCCCAUUGAAAUUGCAUCCUAAAGGGACCUGGUGAGCGCGGUAAUUACCAGGAUGACUGUGAGCACCAGGGCCACGCUUGGCUCAGAGGCUGCUGUAUGUGUUAAAAUUAAAAAGGACUUUAAGCAGAUGCAAGGAAAGUGGAAAUUAGGGACCAAAGUGUAGGCUCAAGAGCGAUUCAUCAUUCCUGAUAAGGAGCCAUUAGGCUGGACUGUGAUGGGAGCAGAACCCGGGGAAGCUGGCAAUUUUAAGCUUACAAAUGCAGAGUAAUCCCCUUGUUUUCAGAUAAUGGAAAACUGCAUUAACCUUGUGAUGUUUCCCUGGUGGCUCCAGCACAUUCCCCCCUCUUACCAGACUCUCUGCUACUUUUUUUUGUUCCCUCUGAUUUGUACAGGUUCUGAUUUCCACCCUGCAUUGGCCAAUCCCAAAAGGUUUGGUAGGCGAGAUCAGAAUCCAGCCCCAUGUUAUUUCAGCCGGAACAUGAUUUCUGGCUUGUUUUAGCCAUCAGGAUAGCCUUGACAUGCUUUGACUUGCUUGCACCAAAAAUGUAAACAGCAGCCCUAAGUAGAACAAUUAACAUUGUGUCUCUGCAGAUGUUUGUUUCUCUUGAAGGAGCUUGGAAUUUGAGUGGGGAAAAGCAGGGUAGGCAGCGAACAGAGGCUAAUGCAGUCUGGGGCAAACUUCCCAACUGGAGUUUUAUAAACAGCUCAAGCUGCUUCCCUUUCUAUCAGUGAUGUCACUGCUAACCUUAGUUUGGGCUGCAACAUUGCUAUCCAUCAUCUGCCAGCUGCUAUUCCUUCCCCACUGUACAGCAGCAGGAAUAUGUGAGGGAGACUGGAGACCUGAAGAGUUUCAUUUCCACGAGAAUGGAAGCCAAUAAGCUCCAGAUUCCCUGGAUUUUUCAUACAAAUUAUCUCACCCAAGUCUGCAGAUAAUGCUGUCCAACAGUUGUAGGUUAUAAUUUCCAAACAGGGAGAUAACCUUCAUCAUGAAGCAAAAGCAAAAAUGCCAUUAGCAGAUAGAGAGGUGAUUUAACUCAACCUAGCCAUUUGCUCACAAGUCUGAAUUUAUGUCACCAGUUGUGAUGAAAUGAGUGUUUUCUUAGAUAGAUAUGGACGACUAACACAGCGCAGAACUCAGCAAUCUUCAAAGGACUCUGAGUUUUAAAUUCCCUGGCUAAAGUCAAACAUUUGUCUUUCUUAUCACUUUCACUCAAAGGAUGUGUUUUUGCAAUAUUACAUCAGGUUCAUUUGCCAACAGAACAGGCCAAAAGGUGAUGUCCAAGAGAUGAAUGCUGCCUUCACUUACACGACAGUAACCCAUCAGCUGCACUGGAAUUACUCUGGGAUUCCAGUGAAGGACUUGACAGCAGGACCAUAACACCCUGCUAGAACAUUUCUUAUAUCACCAUUGCAAGAGCUCCAUAAAUCCAGCACUUUCCAGCUGAGACAUUUCAGAGGAGAGCUCAAAGUUGAGGUGAUCAAACAGCCAGCAAAGAGGUGACCGAACAAUGAACAGCAGUAGGACACUUGCCUUCCUUCCCCUGCCAAAAAAUCCUGUUAGGACAGAGUUAUACUAAAUGCAGAGUUAUUCUGUGUCUAAACCUAUUUUGUCUGCAAUUAUACCCCUUUGCAGCAUGAGACCUGGAGGCUUUGUGAGCAGGACAUAUUCUUUAACAGGUCACUUGCAUUUUCUCUUUCUCCUCUCAAAUGCCAGCACCUUGGCUGCUUUUGUAUCCUCCUUUAAACUGUUUCUGAGCCAAUCCUGUAGGAUUCCUUGCACUGCUGCUCUCAUCUCUCGACAGGCCAUGAAAAUCAAAGCAGAUUUCAUUUGCUUUGGAAGCAGAUGUCUUGUGAAAAAGCUUCUGUCUGUUCAGCAGCAUGGCAGAUUCAUUCCUCCAACAGUCAAAAGGCUUUAAUUUAGUGAGGUCACACAGACAGAAAUUGGCCAACUGAAUACUCACCAGAGAACCUCUGCAUAAGCCUGAUGUGAUUCUACAGGACAGAGAAGUACCUGCAGCAUCAGGUAGAAUAUUAGAGCAUCUCUCAUUACUCAGACACAGCAAGGUGGUCUCACUGCUGAACAUUGUUAUAAUUACAUACAGCAAAUGCUGCUGCAUCAGUUUGACUUUCCUGCAGCUGCCUGUGGGAAGGCAAAUGAAGAGAGCAAAGAGGGAUCGUGGGUCCAGACUGCCUCAGGUGCAGGAAGGGCUGAAAGUGAGUGACUGCUUUAUGUAAUACAUGACUGCAAAUCCUGCUCUGGUCGUUUGCCACUUUCCUACCAAGAUAAACAAAACAUGUCCCUACUCAGUUUGUGCAAUUUUCCACAAUGCCCUGAACUCUGCAGGUGACAGCCUGGGCAAGGGAACAGAGACAGCUCUGCACACACGCUGAUGGGAUUGCAAUACACGAUUGUGACAGCUGCAAACACCUUCAAAAUAAAGGCAAAAUUCCAGCUGAGUGUGAUUCCAGCUCCAGCGUUAAGAUAUGUGAAGAAUUUAUUCAACUUACUCCUGCAUCUUGUUGAACAAAGAUAAGUUGUUUUCAUGCCCAUAGUUUCUGGACAGUUGUGUCAAACCUUUGGCAAUACCUAACCAAAGAUCUGCCUAAACCCAGAUGCAUCACUGGGUAAGUUUAAAUCAUGCCAGUGUCUCCACAAAGAAGGAAACACUCUGCAUCACAAGCAGCCAGCUUUGUGGCUUGAGGGAUCAGCUGGGAAUACCUAGGCAAGGAUGACCAGAAGGUUUCUGCACAGAAGAAGCUAAAGGAGGGCACUCUAACACAGUGAAUUUAGCCAUCACUAGCACUUACCAAGUGCAUCAUUAGAAAAAAACCCCAAAGUAGCUGUAAUUCCAGUCUCUGCACUCCCUGUCUUCAAAUAGCUUCCAAAGGCAACUUGAAUUCUUCACCCUGAUGCUGGCAUGCUCGGAGUGCCAUUGGAAGCCACUGCUGGCAGUCGCUGUUAUCACAGCCCCAGCUCCCCACGCUGGCAGCAGCAGGAACGCGGCUGUAACUGGAUCUGUCCCAGCCCGGGAGAGUCUGGGCAGCCCCACUCCCAGCUCCUCUGCACAGCGGAUAUCUGCCCUGCACACUAACUAUAGACUUGAUGAAACAUUAUCAUACAUGAAGGACUAAUUAGGUGUGCUGGGCCAUUAGCCAUCUCUGAACAUUGACUGAUGAAAAACGUAAUUAAUGGCAGCUUUCAUAAACAGACUGCAGAAUGGAGAAUUGAAUUAAAAGGAAAACAGCUGUUGCUAAUGGAAAUAAGGGCCAUUUCUUGAUUAAAAUAUCUGCCUGUCUUUCCGUGGGAGUUUUUCCAGAGUGGUGGGAUGGAAGAGUGUAAUGAGAUCUGGGAGCAGAGAAUCUGCAAAGCUUCCUGCUGAAGAAAGUACAACUUCUCUGGCUGGUGAGUCACAAUGUUUUCCUUUUGCAGAUUGGAGCAGGGGAAAGAACCAUACAAUUGCCUUGUUCAUCUUGCUGCCAGUCUGAACAGCUUUAUAAACCUUGGGGAUCAACCCUGACAUGUAGGAAUCCAGCUCAGCUUUAACAUAAUGUGAUAUUUCAUUUUACAUGAACCCACAGAUAUAGGAUGGUCUAUAAUUCAAAACCUACUUACUAAGGGCCUACACAGUAGCACCAAGCUCUGAAUCCAGGAGGCAUCUCCACAAAUCCCACUUAAGCACAUCUAUUGAUUCUGACACCAAGCUGCAGCAAGAAUACACAGCUGAGAACAUCUAUCAAAGAGAGACUUCCACCCAGAGACAGCCACUAGGGACUCAACAAAAGUUUGGUGACAUGAGUGAAAGGGUCUGAAUGAUGGAAAAUGUCAGAAUCAAGAUUUUUUUUCAGGUCAUGAGACCUUUCCUUCAUGCUGUGAUGACUCUAAUUCCCUCUGACAAGAAACACUGCAGGAUAAACCUACAGUAUGGAAGAGUUAACAUCCACAUUUUCAUACAGACUGAGCAACACAGCUUCAUCUGCCUCCUGUGACAGAAAUCAUACAGCAGUGGGGUGAAAGGCUCCUUUCUGAGCUUCUGAAGCCAUUUACUUCUACAUUUACUUCAUUUAGCAUAAAAAUCUUCAUGGUGCUUCCAAGUGCCAUUGGGACAUUCAUGUCAGUGGACAUGGACUUCUCAGUUUUACCCUGUAGGUUUGAGUGUGUCCUCUUCAAGGCUCAAGGAUGCUUUAGUGUCUCUUCAUAUAAAGUGCUGAAUGAUGGGGUUGAUUCCCUGGGAGGGCACGUGCUGCAGAUGAAUUUCGGUGUUUCACUGCCGAGCUCUCUCUGUAGAUCUGCACCCCACUGUAUACUGGGGCAGGAGAGCUCUGCUCUGCUGCUCCAGCUCCAUCAGUCUUACUCUGCCUUGUUCAAAAUGAUAGAUCUUUUCCAUCAGUGAUGCCUGAGAACUAAGCCAAACCCCAAGAAAUCCCAAGCCCCACGGAGCCUGCUGACAAGGAAACACGCUCCAUCCCACCUGUGCCCUGAGGAAUGGAGGCGCAUGAAAGGCUGCGUUCAGGCCGCAUUAUCAGAUUCAAAGUGGAAACUAGAGAGAGAGAAAGGUCUGAAAGAUGAGCCAGAUGGGAAUGCCUGUUGCUUUCACCUUUGAUCCACGUGGUGCUUUGAUGUGGUAUUUCAGUCCUUCAGACGAGGUAACUUAUCCCAGUCUGCAGCUCAUGGCACCUCUGAUGGAUAUAAAUGAGGCAGCGAGCUGAGCUCCUGGGCUCUCGCUGAGGCACUGCCACUCAGAGGCAUCAUUCAGUCCCAGCUCCCUUCCCAUGCCCAUUUUUUUUCUCUGCCUGCAGAGUCUAAAAGGAAAUUCCCUCAAAUAAAUACAAAAGCACUUGAUGUUCAUCUAAUGGUAUUUCAGGGAAAGGAAGCAUGAAACCACACAAGUUAUUCAUCUCCAUAAAAUGGUUUUAUCAGGACCCAGAACACAAUUCCUUAGCCUGAGGAGGUCUGAUCUUUGUGAGAUGUAAAUGCAUGACAUUAUGUGCAGAAUGGGUGCUGCUUAAGAACCCAGAUAGAUACAGAGCAGGCAUGUGGGAAUGAUCAGCAUAAAAUAUUUCCUUUUAAUGAUGUGCACACUUCUGCUCCUUUGAGGGGGAACAGUAUGUGCAGUGAAUACUUCAGCACAUUUUUCUAGUGAUAUGGAGGUCUUGAUCUGCUGGUGAGGGCUCAGACUCAAGUGUUAUUUGUGUAGUGACACAGCUCAGCCAAAGGUUUGCCUCUCCAUUGCUCUGUGCAUGGAAAACCCUGUGUCCAGGUUUUCCCAACAGCAAAACAGAAACAAAGUCCACGUGCAUGUGCUCACCAUUUGGGCAACAACCUGACCUGGAAAAACAGGCUUCAAACUUCCUGGGGUUUGCUCCUCUCUGCAGUCAACACCAGAAAUCUGUCCCAAAGAAGAGAAAGAGAGGUAUUAGUUUAAACAAGCCCUCCUCAAUGUGCACAUGAAACAAAUCCUGGGAAGGGAAUAAAGCUGGAGCUGUUCUUACUUGCUACCUCCUGUACAGGCUUUAAUUGCACAUUAUUCAUUAAUCCUUUGCUCUUCUGAGCAAACAGAUCUGUUUCAAGACACUUGUAUUACAUAAAAAGCCAGAAACACUUCUGGAUGAGUGUGUAUGUGCACAUUCACCCAAGGGAGCGCUGCUGGUCCUCAUUUCUCUGGUCAAGUGCUGUACUAGAACUGACAGAAAUUAGCAUCUGUUGUGUGGCUUUGUUGGGCUGGUUUUGACACUGCUUUUAUAAAAUCCACAUGGGAACCCCAAGAUAAU